UAGGGAAUCUUCGGCAAUGGACGAAAGUCUGACCGAGCAACGCCGCGUGAGUGAAGAAGGUUUUCGGAUCGUAAACUCUGUUGUUAGUGAAGAACAAGGACGCUAGUAACUGAACGUCCCCUGACGGUAUCUAACCAGAAAGCCACGGCUAACUACGUGCCAGCAGCCGCGGUAAUACGUAGGUGGCAAGCGUUGUCCGGAUUUAUUGGGCGUAAAGCGAGCGCAGGCGGUUUCUUAAGUCUGAUGUGAAAGCCCCCGGCUCAACCGGGGAGGGUCAUUGGAAACUGGGAGACUUGAGUGCAGAAGAGGAGAGUGGAAUUCCAUGUGUAGCGGUGAAAUGCGUAGAUAUAUGGAGGAACACCAGUGGCGAAGGCGGCUCUCUGGUCUGUAACUGACGCUGAGGCUCGAAAGCGUGGGGAGCAAACAGG
RNAcentral lists this ribosomal RNA (428 nucleotides) under Gemmatimonadota bacterium. Its description in RNAcentral is "Gemmatimonadetes bacterium partial 16S ribosomal RNA". It matches the Rfam family "Bacterial small subunit ribosomal RNA", at positions 355 to 776 of the family's 1533-position model. The record is from RNAcentral. Lineage: Bacteria; Pseudomonadati; Gemmatimonadota.